This 484-nucleotide ribosomal RNA is filed under the name uncultured bacterium. Its description in RNAcentral is "partial 16S ribosomal RNA". It matches the Rfam family "Bacterial small subunit ribosomal RNA", at positions 30 to 507 of the family's 1533-position model. The record is from RNAcentral.
AUUGAACGCUGGCGGCAGGCCUAACACAUGCAAGUCGAGCGGAUGAAGGGAGCUUGCUCCUGGAUUCAGCGGCGGACGGGUGAGUAAUGCCUAGGAAUCUGCCUGGUAGUGGGGGAUAACGUCCGGAAACGGGCGCUAAUACCGCAUACGUCCUGAGGGAGAAAGUGGGGGAUCUUCGGACCUUACGCUAUCAGAUGAGCCUAGGUCGGAUUAGCUAGUUGGUGGGGUAAUGGCCUCCCAAGGCGACGACCCGUAACUGGUCUGAGGGGAUGAUCAGUCACACGGGAACUGAGACACGGUCCAGACUACUACGGGAGGCAGCAGAGGGGAAUAUUGGACAAUGGGCGAAAGCCUGAUCCAGCCAUGCCGCGUGUGUGAAGAAGGUCUUCGGAUUGUAAAGCACUUUAAGUUGGGAGGAGGGGCAGUAAGUUAAUACCUUGCUGUUUUGACGUUACCAACAGAAUAAGCACCGGCUAACUUCGUG